AUUGAACGCUGGCGGCAGGCUUCACACAUGCAAGUCGAGCGGUAGCACAGGGGAGCUUGCUCCCUGGGUGACGAGCGGCGGACGGGUGAGUAAUGUCUGGGAAACUGCCUGAUGGAGGGGGAUAACUACUGGAAACGGUAGCUAAUACCGCAUAACGUCGCAAGACCAAAGAGGGGGACCUUCGGGCCUCUUGCCAUCAGAUGUGCCCAGAUGGGAUUAGCUAGUAGGUGGGGUAAUGGCUCACCUAGGCGACGAUCCCUAGCUGGUCUGAGAGGAUGACCAGCCACACUGGAACUGAGACACGGUCCAGACUCCUACGGGAGGCAGCAGUGGGGAAUAUUGCACAAUGGGCGCAAGCCUGAUGCAGCCAUGCCGCGUGUGUGAAGAAGGCCUUCGGGUUGUAAAGCACUUUCAGCGAGGAGGAAGGUGGUGAACUUAAUACGUUCAUCAAUUGACGUUACUCGCAGAAGAAGCACCGGCUAACUCCGUG
RNAcentral lists this ribosomal RNA (490 nucleotides) under uncultured bacterium. RNAcentral's name for it is "partial 16S ribosomal RNA". It matches the Rfam family "Bacterial small subunit ribosomal RNA", at positions 30 to 507 of the family's 1533-position model. The record is from RNAcentral.